CUACGGGUUGCAGCAGGCGAGAAAACUUUGCAAUGUGCGAAAGCACGACAAGGUUAAUCCGAGUGGUCUCUGCUAAAGGGACCUUUUGACAGUCCUAGAAACACUGUUGAAUAAGGGGUGGGCAAGUUCUGGUGUCAGCCGCCGCGGUAAAACCAGCACCUCAAGUGGUCAGGAUGAUUAUUGGGCCUAAAGCAUCCGUAGCCUGCUUUGUCAGUUUUCGGUUAAAUCCAUACGCUCAACGUAUGGGCUGCCGGGAAUACUGCAAAGCUAGGGAGUGGGAGAGGUAGACGGUACUCGGUAGGAAGGGGUAAAAUCCUUUGAUCUAUUGAUGACCACCUGUGGCGAAGGCGGUCUACCAGAACACGUCCGACGGUGAGGGAUGAAAGCUGGGGGAGCAAACCGGAUUAGAUACCCGAGUAGUC
Molecule: ribosomal RNA, 422 nt
Filed under: uncultured archaeon
Lineage: Archaea
Description: partial 16S ribosomal RNA
Rfam family: Archaeal small subunit ribosomal RNA
Source: RNAcentral